CGAAUUCAGACAAACUCCGAAUGCCAAUUAAUUUAACUUGGGAGUCAGAACAUGGGUGAUAAGGUCCGUGUUCGAAAGGGAAACAGCCCAGACCACCAGCUAAGGUCCCAAAAUAUAUGUUAAGUGGAAAAGGAUGUGGCGUUGCCCAGACAACUAGGAUGUUGGCUUAGAAGCAGCCAUCAUUUAAAGAGUGCGUAAUAGCUCACUAGUCGAGUGACACUGCGCCGAAAAUGUACCGGGGCUAAACAUAUUACCGAAGCUGUGGAUUGUCCUUUGGACAAUGGUAGGAGAGCGUUCUAAGGGCGUUGAAGCAUGAUCGUAAGGACAUGUGGAGCGCUUAGAAGUGAGAAUGCCGGUGUGAGUAGCGAAAGACGGGUGAGAAUCCCGUCCACCGAUUGACUAAGGUUUCCAGAGGAAGGCUCGUCCGCUCUGGGUUAGUCGGGUCCUAAGCUGAGGCCGACAGGCGUAGGCGAUGGAUAACAGGUUGAUAUUCCUGUACCACCUAUAAUCGUUUUAAUCGAUGGGGGGACGCAGUAGGAUAGGCGAAGCGUGCGAUUGGAUUGCACGUCUAAGCAGUAAGGCUGAGUAUUAGGCAAAUCCGGUACUCGUUAAGGCUGAGCUGUGAUGGGGAGAAGACAUUGUGUCUUCGAGUCGUUGAUUUCACACUGCCGAGAAAAGCCUCUAGAUAGAAAAUAGGUGCCCGUACCGCAAACCGACACAGGUAGUCAAGAUGAGAAUUCUAAGGUGAGCGAGCGAACUCUCGUUAAGGAACUCGGCAAAAUGACCCCGUAACUUCGGGAGAAGGGGUGCUCUUUAGGGUUAACGCCCAGAAGAGCCGCAGUGAAUAGGCCCAAGCGACUGUUUAUCAAAAACACAGGUCUCUGCUAAACCGUAAGGUGAUGUAUAGGGGCUGACGCCUGCCCGGUGCUGGAAGGUUAAGAGGAGUGGUUAGCUUCUGCGAAGCUACGAAUCGAAGCCCCAGUAAACGGCGGCCGUAACUAUAACGGUCCUAAGGUAGCGAAAUUCCUUGUCGGGUAAGUUCCGACCCGCACGAAAGGCGUAACGAUUUGGGCACUGUCUCAACGAGAGACUCGGUGAAAUCAUAGUACCUGUGAAGAUGCAGGUUACCCGCGACAGGACGGAAAGACCCCGUGGAGCUUUACUGUAGCCUGAUAUUGAAAUUCGGCACAGCUUGUACAGGAUAGGUAGGAGCCUUUGAAACGUGAGCGCUAGCUUACGUGGAGGCGCUGGUGGGAUACUACCCUAGCUG
Molecule: ribosomal RNA, 1270 nt
Filed under: Staphylococcus aureus
Lineage: Bacteria; Bacillati; Bacillota; Bacilli; Caryophanales; Staphylococcaceae
Description: partial 23S ribosomal RNA
Rfam family: Bacterial large subunit ribosomal RNA
Source: RNAcentral